Tarenaya hassleriana is the source of this 2289-nucleotide long non-coding RNA. RefSeq lists it as uncharacterized. NCBI's taxonomy places the organism in Eukaryota, Viridiplantae, Streptophyta, Magnoliopsida, Brassicales, Cleomaceae. The record is from RefSeq and is a predicted model, not a curated record. The transcript has 3 exons.
AGCAAAAUAACGGCGGAUACAAAGAGAAAUAGACGACAAAAAAUAGACCGGUUUCGCGAGGCAGAUCGGCGACUGGGACUCCGACCUUCAAGGCUGCCACCGGGAAAGCGACGGAUGGAGGGGCGUUCGGACAGACGAAGCAGUCCCAAGAUUCUUGGAUUUUGGGACUCCAUUCCUGUGGAUCCCACCACAAUCGUCAUGGUAUCUCCUCCCUCAUCGCCGGAACCUAUUACUCCGGCCGAAGACGACGAUUCAGGUCCAGAGUCUGUGGCCAUGGAUUCGAGAAACGAGCAUGAUUCCGCUGAAUUCGCGGGAAAGGGUUUCGGGAAAGGAAAGGGUCGGACCACGCGUGUAUUCGCAGAUGCGACUGCCUUCGGACGGAAACGUCAAGUUUUCGGCGGGGAAACGACCCGCCGUAUCAGAUUAGCCGUCGUCUUCGGCGAGAAUAGAGACUAGGGUUUCGGAGGAUCAGCCUGCUUCCAGCGGUGAAGGUAUGUCGAGGCGGGUGUUGCCGCCGUCUAUGGCUCUGUCCGAGCAGUGGGGUGCUGGGAAAUGGAAAGAGGACUGGAGGACAAAGAGGAAGAAAGUCGAUGAGACAACUGAUUCGAUGUUUCUCAAAGAAGUCAUUGAAGUUCUGAUUCGAAACUCUGGUGAGGCUGGGGAAGAAGAAAACGACAUGGAAAACUUUAGCUAUGUGGAAUUGUUGAAAUCUUUGGGCAUAAGGUUUCCUGAGUAAGUGUGAAAAUUCCUGUGGGAAGAUAUAAGAUGUUGAUUACCUGAUGAAUGAGCUGCUGAUCAAAGGCUGCGACUUGUAAGCAGCAAUGGACUCUGCAUCAUUGGCUCGUUGCCAGAUGAUGGAGACUUCUUCCCCGAGAACACACCUGAGUGGAGGAUCAAUGUCAUUGUAGUAAACCACAUGUGCUGUUGAGGAAAACGUUUGCUGGUCAUUGUCACAGUUUUCCGUGUCCGGUUUUUAAGAUUUCACCUCCCACACCUUUGGCCAGAUUCUGAGUUCUGAAGGGUCUUCCUCGUUAGUUUGGUUCCUGCAGGAGAAUGAUUACCAUUUUUCGGACAUCUGUACAAGAGAUGCAAUUCUGCAAUUGUUUGUUACAUCACUGUUAGAAUUCACAUCAAGGUUCAGGAUUUUCCGAUAAACAAAUUGCUGAAGGGCUUUAAUAGUGGAUUAGAGACGUGUGGUUGUAGAUAUACAUGGAAGUAUUUAUGUGGAAUCUAUAUUUUGCAUUAAGAAAUCUCAAUGUGUCAAUAUAGUUUGAUUGUUGUGAGAUAACAUCCUACGAAGCACGAACGCGCGAAGGCUAACUGCUAAAGGGUCAAGUGCAUAACAUUCUAGGAAUACUCUGAAAGCAUUCAAGGAAAGACGACUGCAGUUUGGGAACUCGAUAAUGGUCUAUCUGUGGACAAAACUGUGAUUGAUACACUGUAAACCUAUCAAUUGAUUGCCCAGGUAGUUAGUUUCUUUGUUUUUUUUCUGCUAUUAUCUUUAUACAUCAAAUCACAGGAACGUUGUUAGACGAGCAGUUCCGAUGAUACGGGAAUUACGGCUUCAGAUGUGGCAUGACAUUCAACCCGUUGCAAUGACAAAGUUUGUCACCAAAGUCGUGUUACAACCAAUACAGACUGCUACUGGGAUUACAAGCAACCAGUCACUUGAUUCAUAAAAUUAAUGCAGAUAUGGUUAUGAUGAUGGGUGGAAACGAAGAAUUCAUACGGCCUACCCAAAAUAAACUUGGGAUUGAAUCGAUGUUGAUGUUGACGGUUUCAGUGAUGUUCACUUUGUAGAUAGAGGAACCCUUGUGCUUGGUGUGCUGCAGUAGUAAGGUACAGGUUCAAAUGGUGGCUUGUCACUCAGGUCAGUACUCAGUCGGUAUUCUGUUUCCUUACAGAACAUCGACUAAUAAUAUCAAUCGGCCAUGUUGUUUUCGAAACUUCUGUCUUUGUUUCUGCAGGACCAUACAUCAAAUGGUUGUCUCUCUCAUUGAUUUGCAAGAGAUUUGUUCUUGCCUUUCCUCUAGAACUCAUCCUUCAUUCCUGCAGGAAACUGCACAUAGGAAUGCUUCCACAAGCAAAGCUGAAAAGUGAGAGACACUAAUGGUCGGUUCAUAUGAUUAUAGGAUAAUAUAAUAAAACAAAUAUGUAAACUUUAUUACAAGUUUAUGGUUAUAUCAAGAUGGUGGGCUGUGGGCUGUCCACAUAUUUGUGAUAAAACGAUAUGGUUACAGUAUUUAACGUCUGAUUUUUUAUGAUGUAAGUUUGCAUAUUGAAGUGUUA